UUAGAGGUGAAAUUCAUGGAUCGUCGCCAGACAAACUACAGCGAAAGCAUUUGCCAAGGAUGUUUUCAUUGAUCUGGAGCGAAAGUCAGAGGAUCGAAGACGAUCAGAUACCGUCCUAGUUCUGACCAUAAACGAUGCCAACUGACGAUCCGAGGCGAGCUACUUUUGGCCCCUCGGGCAGUCCCCGGGAAACCUUUAAGUCUUUGGGCUCCGGGGGAAGUAUGGUUGCAAAGCUGAAACUUAAAGGAAUUGACGGAAGGGCACCACCAGGAGUGGAGCCUGCGGCUUAAUUCGACUCAACACGGGAAAACUCACCCGGCCCGGACACUGUGAGGAUUGACAGAUUGAGAGCUCUUUCUUGAUUCGGUGGUUGGUGGUGCAUGGCCGUUCUUAGUUGGUGGAGCGAUUUGUCUGGUUAAUUCCGAUAACGAACGAGACUUUAACCUGCUAAAUAGUGUGCUCGUCUUCUGUCUUGUUCAGUGUUCUUACUGCUUUGAUCCCUCGAGGGUUGGAGUGUUUGAAUUACUGGCUUGUACGGUGCGGGUCUCACUUCUUAGAGGGACAAACGGCGCUUUCAGUCGUACGAAAAUGAGCAAUAACAGGUCUGUGAUGCCCUCAGAUGUCCGGGGCCGCACGUGCGCUACAAUGACGGUUUCAACGAGUAUGGGAACCUGGCCCGAAAUGGUUGGGUAAACUGUGCCAUAACCGUCGUGACUGGGAUCGGGGUUUGCAAUUAUCCCCCGUGAACGAGGAAUUCCUGGUAAGUGCAAGUCAUAAGCUUGCGCUGAUUACGUCCCUGCCCUUUGUACACACCGCCCGUCGCUACUACCGAUUGAAUGGUUUAGCAAGGUCAUCGGAUUGCUGCAAUACGUAGCGUAAGCUACAAGAUUGU
Molecule: ribosomal RNA, 892 nt
Filed under: Lecithocladium sp.
Lineage: Eukaryota; Metazoa; Platyhelminthes; Trematoda; Azygiida; Hemiuridae
Description: SSU rRNA
Rfam family: Eukaryotic small subunit ribosomal RNA
Source: RNAcentral